This 202-nucleotide unclassified non-coding RNA is filed under the name Glomeromycotina sp. RNAcentral describes it as "partial contains small subunit ribosomal RNA, internal transcribed spacer 1, and 5.8S ribosomal RNA". The stretch from base 1 to 47 matches the Rfam family "Eukaryotic small subunit ribosomal RNA", at positions 1785 to 1831 of the family's 1831-position model. The record is from RNAcentral. Lineage: Eukaryota; Fungi; Glomeromycota.
AAAGUCGUAACAAGGUUUCCGUAGGUGAACCUGCGGAAGGAUCAUUAUAAAAUUUUUCGUAUAUUUAUAUUUUUAAAUAUAUAAAAAAAAAAUGUAUUCAAAACCCCCACACUCUUGUAACCAAUUUAUAUAAAAUAUAUUAUCUCGCAUAUAAUAUAAUAAUAAUUAAAAACAACUUUCAACAACGGAUCUCUUGGCUCUC